Molecule: ribosomal RNA, 102 nt
Filed under: Oceanobacillus halophilus
Lineage: Bacteria; Bacillati; Bacillota; Bacilli; Caryophanales; Bacillaceae
Description: partial 23S ribosomal RNA
Rfam family: Bacterial large subunit ribosomal RNA
Source: RNAcentral
GAGUAAGAUCCCUCAGAGACGAUGAGGUUGAUAGGUUCGAGGUGGAAGCGUGGUGACAUGUGGAGCUGACGAAUACUAAUCGAUCGAGGACUUAACUAACUU